This 90-nucleotide transfer RNA is filed under the name Polymorphospora rubra. Its description in RNAcentral is "tRNA-Leu". The record is from RNAcentral. Lineage: Bacteria; Bacillati; Actinomycetota; Actinomycetes; Micromonosporales; Micromonosporaceae.
CGUCGAGCGGUACGUAGGCGGCGCCGGCGCGGAGCACGCCGAGCAGUGCCGAGGCGAGUUCGGCGGACUGUUCGAGGCAGACACCGACGA